Molecule: long non-coding RNA, 309 nt
Organism: Cyprinus carpio carpio
Lineage: Eukaryota; Metazoa; Chordata; Actinopteri; Cypriniformes; Cyprinidae
Source: Ensembl
AUGGAUUGCAUCGUGGACAUGCCACAAUGUACUAAAGGAUGGAGCAUUGCCAGCUACUGUCUUGGUCCCAACAGCAGACCUGCAACCCAUGAAAACACAGCAUUAAUGGUGGAUCUGGACCUCCAUCUGACUCACCCUGUCUCUCCCUCCUGCAAGGCCUCACAUGAGGCGAACAGACUGAAUGAAUCCUGCUGCCAGAUUACUUCUGCUCCAUUCCCAUAUCCAUGCCAUAAUGUUUGCCAUCUGAAAGAAUCUGAGGCAAUCCUUUCACCACAGAGGAACCCCACUAAGCGCCCAAUACCCCAUUGA